This 468-nucleotide ribosomal RNA is filed under the name uncultured bacterium. RNAcentral describes it as "partial 16S ribosomal RNA". It matches the Rfam family "Bacterial small subunit ribosomal RNA", at positions 28 to 507 of the family's 1533-position model. The record is from RNAcentral.
GACGAACGCUGGCGGCGUGCUUAACACAUGCCAGUCGAACGGAAAGGCCCUGCUUUUGUGGGGUGCUCGAGUGGCGAACGGGUGAGUAACACGUGAGUAACCUGCCCUUGACUUUGGGAUAACUUCAGGAAACUGGGGCUAAUACCGGAUAGGAGCUCCUGCUGCAUGGUGGGGGUUGGAAAGUUUCGGCGGUUGGGGAUGGACUCGCGGCUUAUCAGCUUGAUGGUGGGGUAGUGGCUUACCAAGGCUUUGACGGGUAGCCGGCCUGAGAGGGUGACCGGCCACCUGGGGACUGCGGUACGGCCCAGACUGCUACGGGAGGCAGCAGGGGGGAAUAUUGCACAAUGGGCGGGAGCCUGAUGCAGCAACGCCGCGUGCGGGAUGACGGCCUUCGGGUUGUAAACCGCUUUCGCCUGUGACGAAGCGUGAGUGACGGUAAUGGGUAAAGAAGCACCGGCUAACUACGUG